UACGAAGGCCUCAAGCGUUAUCCGGAUUUAUUGGGCGUAAAGGGUCUCCAGGUGGUUCUGUUAGUCGGGCGUUAAAUCUCACUGCUUAACGGUGGGGCUGCGUUCGAAACGGCAGAACUAGAGGAAUGGAGAGGGAGUAGGAACUCACAGUGUAGGGGUGAAAUCCGUUGAUAUUGUGGGGAACACCAAAGGCGAAGGCAAACUCCUGGCCAUUUCCUGACACUCAUGAGACAAAAGCGUGGGGAGCAAAUGGGAUUAGAAACCCGUGUAGU
Molecule: ribosomal RNA, 272 nt
Filed under: uncultured bacterium
Lineage: Bacteria
Description: partial 16S ribosomal RNA
Rfam family: Bacterial small subunit ribosomal RNA
Source: RNAcentral